GACGAACGCUGGCGGCGUGCUUAACACAUGCAAGUCGAACGGUGAAGCGCCUUCCUUUUUGGUGGGUGUGGAUGAGUGGCGAACGGGUGAGUAACACAUGAGUAACCUGCCCCCUUCUUCUGGAUAACCGCAUGAAAGUGUGGCUAAUACGGGAUAUUCUGGGUCUGUCGCAUGAUGGGUCUGGGAAAGAUAUUGUUUCGGUGGGGGAUGGGCUCGCGGCCUAUCAGCUUGUUGGUGGGGUGAUGGCCUACCAAGGCGGUGACGGGUAGCCGGCCUGAGAGGGUGGACGGUCACACUGGGACUGAGACACGGCCCAGACUCCUACGGGAGGCAGCAGUGGGGAAUAUUGCACAAUGGGCGCAAGCCUGAUGCAGCGACGCCGCGUGAGGGAUGGAGGCCUUCGGGUUGUGAACCUCUUUCGCCAGUGAAGCAGGCCUGCCUCGUUUGUGGGUGGGUUGACGGUAGCUGGAUAAGAAGCGCCGGCUAACUACGUG
This 494-nucleotide ribosomal RNA is filed under the name uncultured bacterium. RNAcentral describes it as "partial 16S ribosomal RNA". It matches the Rfam family "Bacterial small subunit ribosomal RNA", at positions 28 to 507 of the family's 1533-position model. The record is from RNAcentral.